This 253-nucleotide ribosomal RNA is filed under the name uncultured bacterium. Its description in RNAcentral is "partial 16S ribosomal RNA". It matches the Rfam family "Bacterial small subunit ribosomal RNA", at positions 524 to 776 of the family's 1533-position model. The record is from RNAcentral.
UACGAGAGGCCCAAACGUUAUUCGGAUUUACUGGGCGUAAAGAGCGCGCAGGCGGUCGUUCAAGUCGCGUGUGAAAGCCCCCGGCUCAACUGGGGAGGGUCACGCGAUACUGAUCGACUCGAAGGCAGGAGAGGGUAGUGGAAUUCCCGGUGUAGUGGUGAAAUGCGUAGAUAUCGGGAGGAACACCAGUGGCGAAGGCGACUACCUGGCCUGUUCUUGACGCUGAGGCGCGAAAGCUAGGGGAGCAAACGGG